Molecule: ribosomal RNA, 468 nt
Filed under: uncultured bacterium
Lineage: Bacteria
Description: partial 16S ribosomal RNA
Rfam family: Bacterial small subunit ribosomal RNA
Source: RNAcentral
GACGAACGCUGGCGGCGUGCUUAACACAUGCAAGUCGAACGGAAAGGCCCUGCUUUUGUGGGGUGCUCGAGUGGCGAACGGGUGAGUAACACGUGAGUAACCUGCCCUUGACUUUGGGAUAACUUCAGGAAACUGGGGCUAAUACCGGAUAGGAGCUCCUGCUGCAUGGUGGGGGUUGGAAAGUUUCGGCGGUUGGGGAUGGACUCGCGGCUUAUCAGCUUGUUGGUGGGGUAGUGGCUUACCCAGGCUUUGACGGGUAGCCGGCCUGAGAGGGUGACCGGCCACAUUGGGACUGAGAUACGGCCCAGACUCCUACGGGAGGCAGCAGUGGGGAGUAUUGCACAAUGGGCGGAAGCCUGAUGCAGCAACGCCGCGUGCGGGAUGACGGCCUUCGGGUUGUAAACCGCUUUCGCCUGUGACGAAGCGUGAGUGACGGUAAUGGGUAAAGAAGCACCGGCUAACUACGUG